RNAcentral lists this long non-coding RNA (3858 nucleotides) under Bemisia tabaci. Its description in RNAcentral is "lncRNA ENSSSA1UGG002387". Lineage: Eukaryota; Metazoa; Arthropoda; Insecta; Hemiptera; Aleyrodidae. The record is from RNAcentral.
AUGGCAAUGGAGCUCCCACCAUACCUUCCGCAAUUUUUUACAUUGACAUAUUUAUUUGCCUAUUUGCUGCUCAUUUUUGCAAACUUGAAUUGCAUCGACGGGGUCAGCGAUGACGUGCCCAAAUGCCCGAAGAACAUGAGCGAUAUUCUGAAAGCAGAAAAAGUUGUGCCUGAUGUCAUUGAUAACGUGCCAAAACACCAUAUUGACAUUGAGUACAAUCAACACUGUUUUAUAAAUUUCGGAAAUAUGUUGAAGCCUGAGGAGGUUUAUUGGCGCACUUUUGCCAUUGAUUGGUUUUGCUAUCGAGAGCAGUAUUUCACAUUCAUGUUAGUUGGUAAGCGAAUUGUCUUCAAACACAACAUUCGUUACGUUGACACGAAGUUACCGAAAAAAAUAUAUUUUUAUAGGUAUUAAAAGGGUGUACACUUGACCUCUUUGCGGUCCAAAGCCCCAAGACGCUUCGUGCCUCAAGCGUCGUGCGUUACUUUUAUGAUUUGGACUGCAUUUUGCAAUUUGGACCUAUAAAUUCUGGCUCAUCUGAAAAAAACACUUUUGUGCAUAGAGAAACUAAUGGCACAUACGUUUUUUUUUAAACAAAUUGCAAAAUGCAGUCCAUUUUAUAAUACACGGUACCAUGUGUGCUUCCAUUGGGUAAACCACCAGAAAAAAAACUGACAGAAGUCACCUGAUUGAGAAGUGUUGGUAGCAGCAGCAUGUAUGGAAAAACAUGAGAAAUCCAAGGUCAUCAAUUCAUCAUGCCAUAGAAUUCUGAGAAAAACUUGAAAAAGUCGACAGUCAAUUUUUUGUUAAUUUCCUAAAAUCUCCGGGUCGAAAUCGUAUUUUGAAAAUUUAUCGGUUUAACAGUUUGUGACAAUUUUUCUCCCGAGAAAAUGAAAUAAAAAAUUACUUUAACCGUUAAAAAUCCCUGCAAGAUUGCAAUGAAUUGGACCUGCUUUCAGGGCCGGAUGAGCCAUCGCGGGAUGCACCUACCGAUCGGGAGUUUUUACACUGGUUGAUCGUAAAUAUUCCCAUCGAUGCUGUUAUUUGUGGCGAUGAAAGAGUGGAAUAUAUUCCACCGACCCCAAAAAAAAGACACUGGUGAGUGAAAUAAAAAAUAUAUUGAAAUUCGUGCUACUUUUUCAUGAGUAUAAGAUUUGUAGACUCACUGAUUAGCUUGGGUGAAAUUGUUUCUCAAGAAAAUUGUGCUAUUUCUGUAAUUUACGUCCAGGAAAAUUGAGAAAAAAAGAAAGAAAAAACGAGACACUAAAAGGAACAAAUAAAAUUUGAAACCCACGUUUCUUUUAAAAAUGUUACUAUUCCUUAUUCAUAUUUUUCAAAAUUUUUUGGAAUGUUUUUUUCAAAUUUUUCAAUAUGAAUGUUUCAUUUGUUUUUAAUAUUUCCGAUAUUUUGCAUUAUUAUAAAUCAACAGGACUUUUUGCAAAAAUUACCCGUGUAAUUAAUCCUUUUUUUAUUCAAUUACUUAACAGGUGUGCAUAGGUAUGUUUACGUCGUUUUACAACAGGCUCAGGAUAAGAUGAUAUUCGAUGAGCCUCAUCUCAAAAACACGUAAGUGACAGAAAUAAAUUGUCAAGUAGUUAUAUUUUCAUCUUUAGAGUCACCAAUAUACAUAAUUAUCAAGCAAACCCUGAAUAUGUUUGAAUCUUUUACGAGAGCUCUCUCUUUCCUGAUUUUCGAGGAAAAGUAUAUAAAUGUAUGGACGAGAAAUGAAUCAACUUAUGAGUAACCCUCCGCGUGUGUAGAGAUCAUAACUUACAAAUACUUAAAUUUGGAUUGUCGAUAUAAAAAAGUACAGGAGAGUUCUACUAAAAUUUCAAGUGAGAGACCCCCAAAAUAAGUUAAAUGAAACAGAAGUACUUACUCGCAAUUGUGGUUCCGCCAGUACCUACAUUAACAAACAAGCCCACCAAGAGUGCAUAAAUUCGACAUGAUAGAAGGAAAAAGGAGGCAAUCGUAACUAUAAAAACAUUGACAAAAUAGGUAUAUUGCUUCCCGCCGAAAAAAAUGGCGACCAUACCCAAUGGGUGUUACCCGAGCAACGCGGGCCUUAGUAUUACAACAUUAUUAACACGGUCGAUGGAAAACGGCCGAAGAGAGCGCGUACUACAAGCGUGGUGAACGCUCAAAAUACUUACUACACCAACAAAAUUUUUACUUUAUUUUCAGGUCAAUAGCAGAGCGAAAAAACUGGUCGACGAAGGCGUUCAUGAUGAAGUAUGGUUUCAAGGAGGCUCAUGCAGUGAACUUCUUCAAGAGUGAAUGGCACGAUCCUAGUAGCAUCACGACGAAAAGUCCGUGGGAUGUUGAACCACCGAGGAAAAGAGUCUUGCGAACAAAAAAACCGACUACACUUUGAAUGAAUACAUCCACCUUUCUUACGAAACAGAAUAAAUAUCACGAAAAUUGAAUUUGCUUUGUUCGUUACUUUCCAAAAAAUUAAGUAUGGGGGAAAGUAAAUUAAGGUUGAUUUUCCACUAACUCCCCUUUGUAGGUGGAACUAGGUGCGGUAGGGCUCCACGGAAAUCGACUUGGCCUUCAACAGAAAUUCGAGGGAUUCAACUGAGCAAGCGCGUUACAUAUCUUUCACUUUUAAAAUUGUAAUGGAGAAUUUGCACACAAAUUGUUUAUUGCUUCAUCUGGAAGAACUGAUUUUGCGGCAUUCUUUAUUGAUUCUUUCUGAUAUGGGAUAUAGUAUAAAAAUGAAUUUAAAAUUGGAAUAAUGUAACGCCUAAAGGCGUCAUCUAACGGCAUACCAAUUUAGACGCAUGUUUUUUUUGUUGUUGUUUUUUUCAGCAAAUUGGGUUAUUCAGUCGUAUCUCUUCCAAUUAAUUGUUAAAUUUAUGAGCCACGAGCAUCCUCGUGUUCAGUUCACUCGUUGUCACGUGGUUUCCACUAAACCACAAAAUCUAUAAAAUGUCAGGCAUUUACAAAUUCUCCAUUGGACUUGAGAUGUCGCGUGUGGUUUAAAUUGUGAUGAAGCAAACAUUCAGGGGGCCUCACAUGGCAUCAAAAACAAUUCAAGAAUAGAUCUGUGUAAGGAAGUAAACCAAUUCUCCGUCAUGGAAAUUACAAAUUACCAAGAAAACAAUUUAGCAGGUUUGGCUAAUUUCGAGGUAGAUCCGUGCCCAUAAGAUGGAUAGUCUAACUUCCAUUUGAUCUGUGUUAAAAGUACUACUUAAUAUCUCGUUCAGAAGAAUGGAUUUCCUAACUUACCAUUGAGUGAAUUGUUUUAUACGUAAGAUUUAAAAGAAAAACAUGUGACUUUUUUUUGGUUCAGGCGUUAUCUAAUGGCCCAUCUCUCAAGUAUCACAAGUGAUUUUUCAAAGAUAAUAGGAGAAUUUCUUAGGUAUCGAGGGGCUAGAAUAAGACCUACGUAGGUUUUUUACUAUUUUUAUGUUUAGUUUUUUUUCUUCUUUAAUCCUUGAAAUAUUAAAGGAAUUGAGUCCUCUGAAUCGAGUGUGAUUAUAAUACAAAAAGUUUCAAGUACAAUUAAUUAGGAUACUUUAUGUUUUCGAGCGUGUACAAAGUUUUUAUUCCAAUCUUAGGUUUUAAAGGCGUCAUCAAGUCACGAGCUUCAUGCUGUAUGACUUUUGUUUUAAUCGGAAGAUCUAGGCUAGGCCUUACAAUAUAAAACUUACAAAACAGUAGGAGCCAUCACAUUCAGGACGAGGUUAUCAGUAUUUUAGUCAUGUCGUCAUGCCGAUGUUCUCAAAGUAUACCUCCUUUUGGUGCGUGGUUCGUUUUGUUUCGGUUCACGUUCACCACAAUCCAGUAAUUGAGAAAUCUCCAAUCGAGAUUUCAAAAUGGUGUUAAGUAAAAUUGAACUAUCUCGAUAGUGCU